RNAcentral lists this long non-coding RNA (2759 nucleotides) under Homo sapiens (human). RNAcentral's name for it is "HSALNT0062836". The record is from RNAcentral. Lineage: Eukaryota; Metazoa; Chordata; Mammalia; Primates; Hominidae.
UGAAUCUUAGAAAUGACACAUUGAAUGAAGAGCUUUGCAGUGUCUCCUUUUCCAGACUUCUUAGAGGACUUGGAAAGAAAAUGAAAUGACGUUGAACGAAAUCAAAGUAAAUUGAGUGAUCUGAAACGAUUUGAUGUCAGCAAGAAUUCCCCAUACAGCUCACAGCCCUACCCCGAGCACGCCUCCCUCUUGGGUAUGCUCUCUGCAGGCCCAAACCUUGCAGAAGCCAUUCCAUGUUUCCUGAGCAGGAAAAGACAAACUCAGACCGACAACCUUGGACUUCAAAAGACUGCACACAAGGGGAGGAAGGACUGAGAGUACCAAGGCGUGAGAAUUCAGAAUGCUGCUAUCUCAUUUAUUUUUACCAUUUAGGAAACGUUUUGAUCUGCAUUCCUUUUCCCUUCCCUGAUUUCAAAAAAUAAAAAUAAAAAUGCUUCGGUUCUGAGGAGUAACUCUCCAGAUGGAAGGGGAAGAUCAGGGGAUGAAUGGGGGAGGGCUGCUUGCGUCCUCUCCCCUGCCACACACACGCUCUCUGUUUCAGCCAGUGUAAAAAUAGCCGCCCAGGUUUAUGUAUUCAUCCCUAAGCUGCAAUGAAGCGCCUGCCUCCCGGCCAGAGUCCGCUGCCUUUUAGUAGCUUAUAACAUCAGGUGACGCCUCCAGCCCUCCCAUUCCCCGCCCCAGCCCGGAUAAACGUCCUCCGUGACCUUAGAAGUUUUCAGUUUAAUCAGCGGUAUCGUUUUUGAGAGGAAAAUCCUCCCAGCUUUGCGGGCUGGCAGGGCUCUGGGGCCCUCCCCUGCCUCCCAGCCCAGGCCGCAGAGCGAGAGCGUUUCCAUCUGUGCUGCGAGCGGGAAGAGCCUCUCUGUGCUCCCCGGCACGUCCAGCGCGCGGGCGGGAACACGCUCUCCUGUGGGGGGCAGCUUUCCCAGGGACCUUGCCUAACGAGGGCCAGGCGGCUCCCCCGUGGGCCCCGAAUGGCUCCUGGCAGGCAGACCCCUAUCCCUGUCGAGAGCACUGAUUUCCCCAGCGUCGGGGGAGGCAGCCGCGCCCUCCUGGAGCGAGGCAAUCCAGCGGUCAGGCGGCGGCGAGGGCCUGCGCGUGCGCAGAAAAGAGCUGCCUCCGCGCCAGGCAAGGGGCGCGAGGGCGGAGGAUGGAGGGCGAGGGCGCAUGCGUCAGCCGUGCCGCUGGGGCCGCGUAGGAGAGCUGAGCUGCUGGGUCCUGCCGUCAGUGCAGUUUCUUGGCAGCACGUUGGGGACACUGCGCCAUGAGAACAGAGCCACAGAAUGUUAAAGGCACAGCCUCCUUCGAGGGCAUUUGCAUAAUGCCUCCCGUUUACAGAUGAGGAAAUUGAGGCCCAAAGAGGUGAUGGGAAAGGCCCAAAGCUGCAUUUCUGGCUUCUGGCAGCUGGGACCAGAUCCAGCUCGUAUUGACAUGGUUUAAGCACUUCUUCAAUGAGCACUUAUCAAAAGCCUAGAUACUGUGUACUCAGUGUCUUGAGUGGCAGCGAAAGAUAACCACGAAUACGUCAGAAGCAGUGUAGCCACGGCUGCCCUGGAUUUGGGCAUAGAAUCAGACAGACCUGGGUUUGAUAUGAUGAUUUCCAGAACCACACUACUAGUUGGAUGGCCUUAGUGAAGCAGUUAACCGCUCCAUGCCCUAGCUUUCUGGUCUGCAAAACGGAGAUAAAAAUAGGCUAGGGUCGUGGGAUUUAAAUGAGAUAAGGUGCACAUUGUUUAGCACAGUGCCUGCGCAUGGAAGGCUCUCAAAUAAAUAUUCGUGCAAUGUUUUGAGAAGUAGAAAGUGCUAGGCACGUAGGCGUUCAGGAGACAGUCACGGUACUCGUUUCCAGACAGAAGUCAUGAGGAACAAGAGGGAAGGUGCUUUCCCGUGUGCAGCGCUUGGGGAGACUCACACAGACAGAGGAUCUGGCAUGACAGGGAAAGGAGGAAAUGGCUUCUGUUAAUCUCUCCUUCAGCUUCUCCCGCCCUUCCCAUGCACUCUUCCUGUUUCCCUUUCCAGUUCUCACGGUGACUCAAGGAACAACGUGUGAAAUGAAAGACCUCAGGUGCUGUAUUGGCUCUUGACAGCUCUUCAGAAGAAAAUACCUCCUGCCUGUUCUGUUCAGUCCUGGUGCAGGUGGUCCUGGACAACACUUUGAAAAAUGCUGGGGCAGAAACAAGCCAGCAAGCAUAUGGGAUUCAUCUGCUGUGAGUGAUAAUUUAUCUAGUUUCUAAAAAUAGUGUUAUAGGCUGGACUGUGUCCCCUUCCUGUGCCCCGCCGCCAUGCAUAUAUGGACGCCUAGUACCUCAGAAUGUGACUGUAUUUGGAAACAGGGCCUUUGAAGAAGUAAUUAAGUUAAAAUGAGGUCAUUAGGGUGGGCAGUAAUACAGUAUAACUGGUGUCCUUAUAAGAAGAGAUUAGGACACAGAUGCACACAGAGGGAAGACCAUAUGAACACAGAGGGAGAAGACAGCCACCUGCAAGCCACAGAGAGAGCCCUUCAAAGAAACCAACCCUGCAGACAAUUUGAUCUCAGGUUUCUGGCCUCCAGAAUUGUGAGAAAAUAAAUUUCUGUUGUUUAAGUCACCCAGUCUGUGGUAUUUUGUUAUGGCGGCGAAGCUAACGAACACAAACAGAAGGCUGAUUUCACUUAAUAAUCAUCUCAGAAGGCAGAGAUUGCUUCAAACUAUUGCAUAAACAAGGCUGGUUUGUGAACCAAAGGACAUGAGCCCCAAACCUGGAGUCGCAGAGGCAGCAUGACA